Molecule: ribosomal RNA, 463 nt
Filed under: uncultured bacterium
Lineage: Bacteria
Description: SSU rRNA
Rfam family: Bacterial small subunit ribosomal RNA
Source: RNAcentral
AGGACUAACGCUGGCGGCGUGCCUAACACAUGCAAGUCGAACGAGGUAGCAAUACCUAGUGGCAGACGGGUGAGUAACACGUAGUCAACCUUCCCGAUAGUGGGGGAUAACUAGCCGAAAGGUUAGCUAAUACCGCAUACGAUCUUCGAGUGGCAUCAUUUGAAGAUGAAAGGAGCAAUCCGCUUUCGGACGGGACUGCGUCCCAUUAGCUAGAUGGUGGGGUAAUGGCCUACCAUGGCAACGAUGGGUAGCUGGUUUGAGAGAGCGACCAGCCACACUGGGACUGAGAAACGGCCCAGACUCCUACGGGAGGCAGCAGUGAGGAAUUUUCCGCAAUGGGCGAAAGCCUGACGGAGCGACGCCGCGUGUGGGAAGAAGGCCUUCGGGUCGUAAACCACUGUCGAAGGGGAAAUACUGAUGGUACCCUUGGAGGAAGCCCGGCUAACUACGCGCCAGCAGCCGC